AUAAUGCAGGUACAUAGUAAGCAGUUAAUAAAUAGCAACUAUAGCAAUCUAGGGGAAAAUAAAUACAUAUUUUUUAAAAAUAGCAGCUAUUAUUGGCUACUGAAGUGAAUCAAAGAUGCAUGAGGAUGCCUUUAUUGCCAUCAACAAUUAAGUUAAUACUUUACAAACAGCAGUCCCAGAAUCCAUUGACACCUGUUGAUUAAUAAGUUUACCAUGUUAGUUAGUGAAGUACUCAGGUUCCAGAAAUUUGUCUCCAAGAGGCACUUAGCUGAUUGAUCUGCACAAACAUUGCACCCUGGAAGUGUGGUGGAGUCAGCUGUGAAUUCUGAUUGCCUCCAACUGGAACAGGGACUGUUCCUCUAGGAAAGUCAUACAAGAGCAGGUGGAGAUUCAGCCCACGAGAAGUGUGCCACUGAAAUGACCCAAGUCUGGGCCCCAAAUGCAGGUGGGCACCUUUUUCUGUUACUCAGGAAGCUCUCUGUGCAGCCCAGGGUAGCAUGAACUGAGAUCUGCUGUGACGGUGCCUGACACCAGGAUCCACCCCU
Molecule: long non-coding RNA, 545 nt
Filed under: Pan troglodytes (chimpanzee)
Lineage: Eukaryota; Metazoa; Chordata; Mammalia; Primates; Hominidae
Description: long non-coding RNA NONPTRT013019
Source: RNAcentral